AAAAGAAGAAAAAUUGAAAUGCUUGUUUCCCAUCAAGAUUCCACCAUGCAUAUUACUAGAUAUGGCAGGAAAAUGAAAUGCAUGAACCAAUGCAGAAGUUGGAAAAUGAAUCAUCAAUUUACUCAAAACUGAAAUAAGUGGAUCUGAGAACUGCUCGUCAUUUCACCCAACUGAUGUUUUGGCUGAAACUUUAAAGGGAAAGCUUGCUAAAAACUUCUAGAAAGAAUAAAUUCUAGAAAUUAGUUUUAGUUAAAAACUAAUUCUAACGACUGCAUAAUGCUUUUGUCUUGUGGCACAAAAAGGGAAGCGUUUUACAGAACAACAAACAUGUCAAGGAUUGAAUGUUUCAUACUUCAACCUUCUCAACUAAUAACAAAUAGUAAAUGCUGGCACUUCACACGUAACGACACCAAAAUCGCUUCAAGCCUCAAACAUUAACCGAAAGCCCAACCUCAAACAUUAACUGAAAUUUCUAGACCCAUCCUAACAUAACAAGUGGAAAGCAGAUUUUCUACAAGUGUAACCUCAUAGUGCCUAGAAAUUUCAUGAUGUUUCCCUCUUCAAAAGUCUUAACAAGUAGAAACAAAUAGAAUCAACUCACACUUUAUGCUUUAGGACGCAGAGGACAUGAGCGCUAUAACAAUUACAAAUUCUAGAUUUUAUAAUAUUCCCAAACAAAACAAAGAAGAGUGGGGUAAAUACCACAGGUUUGAGCAGU
RNAcentral lists this unclassified non-coding RNA (718 nucleotides) under Hevea brasiliensis (rubber tree). The record is from RNAcentral. Lineage: Eukaryota; Viridiplantae; Streptophyta; Magnoliopsida; Malpighiales; Euphorbiaceae.